RNAcentral lists this ribosomal RNA (1035 nucleotides) under Triticum aestivum (bread wheat). Its description in RNAcentral is "partial small subunit ribosomal RNA". Lineage: Eukaryota; Viridiplantae; Streptophyta; Magnoliopsida; Poales; Poaceae. The record is from RNAcentral.
AUGGAUAUAGCCAUGAGGACAAUGGGCUCCCUCCUUCUCAAACUGGGUGAGGUUAUCAAGGAUGAUUACAAGCUACAGAAGGGAGUCAAGAAAAAGGUCAAGUCCUUCUCUGCCGAACUGGAUAUUAAGGUUAUGCGCGCUGCCCUUGGCAAGGUGGCAGACAUGCCGCGGGAUGAGCUCGAUGAGCGGGUCAAGCUUUGGGCUGCCGAUGUGAGGGAGCUGUCUUACGACAUGGAGGAUGUCGUCGACUCUCUCCUGGUGCGUGUUGAGGGCAGUGACCCCAAUACUGAUCAGUCCAACUUCAAGAAGCUCAUGCCCAAGAUGCUAAACGUGUUUAAAAAGGGCAAGGCUCGCCGUGAGAUUUCCGCAGCAGUCGAAGAAAUCCAUGAGCGGUUGCAAGAUGUGACCAGACGACAUGAAAGGUAUAAUCUUCCUAAUCUACCUGCAGCAAAAAGGACCACCACUGACCCUUUCUGGGAGGUUCUCUAUGGAGAUAAGAAGAAUAUCAUCAGCCUAGAGAAAGCAAGGGACGAUAUUAUCAAGAAGAUCAGUGACGGCGACCGUGUGUCCAAUGAGCAACUUAAGACACUCUCUAUUGUUGGAUUUGGAGGACUGGGCAAGACUACCCUUGACAGAGAAGUAUAUGAUGCCCUCCCAACAAAAUUUUAUUACAAAGCUUUUGUGUCAGUGUCUCAGAAUCCUUACAUGAAGAAAGUAUUAAGCAAUCUUCUCUCUAAACUUGAUAACAGAAGACAUGCUAGACUGAAUGCAGCAAGCUUGGAUGUAGGACAACUCAUCGACCUAGUCCGAGAAUUGCUUAGCAAGAAAAGGUACUUUAUCAUUAUCGAUGAUCUAUGGGAUAAAGAGGCAUGGAAAACAAUCAGAUAUGUACUUCAGGACGAUAAGUGUGGAAGUAUAAUAAUUACUACAACCCGCCAUGUCAAGAUCUCUGAAGAAUGUUCCUCUUCUAAACAGGAUAUGAUUCAUCAGAUGAUAUGCCCAGAAACUUUUCUAUGGAAGAAUAUUUUCAAGUGA